RNAcentral lists this signal recognition particle RNA (100 nucleotides) under Rahnella aquatilis CIP 78.65 = ATCC 33071. Its description in RNAcentral is "Bacterial signal recognition particle RNA". It matches the Rfam family "Bacterial small signal recognition particle RNA". From Rfam's summary of the family: The signal recognition particle (SRP) is a universally conserved ribonucleoprotein involved in the co-translational targeting of proteins to membranes. The record is from RNAcentral. Lineage: Bacteria; Pseudomonadati; Pseudomonadota; Gammaproteobacteria; Enterobacterales; Yersiniaceae.
CUGUUGGUUCUCCCGCAACGCUAACUUGUCAACCUGGUCAGGUCCGGAAGGAAGCAGCCAUGGCAGGUGUCGCGUGUGCCGGGAUGUAGCUGGCAGGGCC